RNAcentral lists this microRNA precursor (84 nucleotides) under Bombyx mori (domestic silkworm). RNAcentral's name for it is "mir-2807 microRNA precursor family". It matches the Rfam family "mir-2807 microRNA precursor family". Lineage: Eukaryota; Metazoa; Arthropoda; Insecta; Lepidoptera; Bombycidae. The record is from Rfam by way of RNAcentral.
UUAAUUCAAAUUUGGAUGGAGUUGGAAAGUUUGCCUACGUUUGCCGCUAGGGGCGCUGUUCCAACUGCAUACAGAGUUAGCUUU